UAGUCCACGCCCUAAACGAUGGAUGCUAGGUUUGCGGGGUAUCGACCCCCUGUGAGCCGUAGGUAACCCAUUAAGCAUCCCGCCUGGGGACUACGACCGCAAGGUUAAAACUCAAAGGAAUUGACGGGGGCCCGCACAAGCAGCGGAGCGUGUGGUUUAAUUCGAUGCUAAGCGAAAAACCUUACCAGGGCUUGACAUGUAGGUGGUACUGAUCCGAAAGGUGAGGGACCCGCAAGGGAGCCUACACAGGUGCUGCAUGGUUGUCGUCAGCUCGUGCCGUGAGGUGUUGGGUUAAGUCCCGCAACGAGCACAACCCUUGUCGCUAGUUACACUCUCUAGCGAGACUGCCCCUAAAAGGGAGGAAGGCGGGGAUGAUGUCAAAUCAUCAUGGCUCUUACGUCCUGGGCUACACACACGCUACAAUGGCCAGUACAGACGGUUGCUAAGUCGCGAGGCGGAGCCAAUCCGACAAAGCUGGUCUCAGUUGGGAUUGCAGGCUGAAACUCG
Molecule: ribosomal RNA, 507 nt
Filed under: uncultured bacterium
Lineage: Bacteria
Description: bacterial SSU rRNA
Rfam family: Bacterial small subunit ribosomal RNA
Source: RNAcentral